GACGAACGCUGGCGGCGUGCCUAAUACAUGCAAGUAGAACGCUGAAGAGAGGAGCUUGCUCUUCUUGGAUGAGUUGCGAACGGGUGAGUAACGCGUAGGUAACCUGCCUUGUAGCGGGGGAUAACUAUUGGAAACGAUAGCUAAUACCGCAUAACAAUGGAUGACACAUGUCAUUUAUUUGAAAGGGGCAAUUGCUCCACUACAAGAUGGACCUGCGUUGUAUUAGCUAGUAGGUGAGGUAACGGCUCACCUAGGCGACGAUACAUAGCCGACCUGAGAGGGUGAUCGGCCACACUGGGACUGAGACACGGCCCAGACUCCUACGGGAGGCAGCAGUAGGGAAUCUUCGGCAAUGGGGGCAACCCUGACCGAGCAACGCCGCGUGAGUGAAGAAGGUUUUCGGAUCGUAAAGCUCUGUUGUAAGUCAAGAACGAGUGUGAGAGUGGAAAGUUCACACUGUGACGGUAGCUUACCAGAAAGGGACGGCUAACUACGUGCCAGCAGCCGCGGUAAUACAUAGGUCCCGAGCGUUGUCCGGAUUUAUUGGGCGUAAAGCGAGCGCAGGCGGUUUGAUAAGUCUGAAGUUAAAGGCUGUGGCUCAACCAUAGUUCGCUUUGGAAACUGUCAAACUUGAGUGCAGAAGGGGAGAGUGGAAUUCCAUGUGUAGCGGUGAAAUGCGUAGAUAUAUGGAGGAACACCGGUGGCGAAAGCGGCUCUCUGGUCUGUAACUGACGCUGAGGCUCGAAAGCGUGGGGAGCGAACAGGAUUAGAUACCCUGGUAGUCCACGCCGUAAACGAUGAGUGCUAGGUGUUGGAUCCUUUCCGGGAUUCAGUGCCGCAGCUAACGCAUUAAGCACUCCGCCUGGGGAGUACGACCGCAAGGUUGAAACUCAAAGGAAUUGACGGGGGCCCGCACAAGCGGUGGAGCAUGUGGUUUAAUUCGAAGCAACGCGAAGAACCUUACCAGGUCUUGACAUCCCGAUGCUAUUUCUAGAGAUAGAAAGUUACUUCGGUACAUCGGUGACAGGUGGUGCAUGGUUGUCGUCAGCUCGUGUCGUGAGAUGUUGGGUUAAGUCCCGCAACGAGCGCAACCCCUAUUGUUAGUUGCCAUCACUCAGUUGGGCACUCUAGCGAGACUGCCGGUAAUAAACCGGAGGAAGGUGGGGAUGACGUCAAAUCAUCAUGCCCCUUAUGACCUGGGCUACACACGUGCUACAAUGGUUGGUACAACGAGUUGCGAGUCGGUGACGGCAAGCUAAUCUCUUAAAGCCAAUCUCAGUUCGGAUUGUAGGCUGCAACUCGCCUACAUGAAGUCGGAAUCGCUAGUAAUCGCGGAUCAGCACGCCGCGGUGAAUACGUUCCCGGGCCUUGUACACACCGCCCGUC
This 1386-nucleotide ribosomal RNA is filed under the name uncultured organism. RNAcentral's name for it is "SSU rRNA". It matches the Rfam family "Bacterial small subunit ribosomal RNA", at positions 28 to 1398 of the family's 1533-position model. The record is from RNAcentral.